Molecule: ribosomal RNA, 337 nt
Filed under: uncultured bacterium
Lineage: Bacteria
Description: bacterial SSU rRNA
Rfam family: Bacterial small subunit ribosomal RNA
Source: RNAcentral
AAUCAGCGCUGGCGGCGUGCCUCAGACAUGCAAGUCGAACGAUUAAAGCUCUCUUCGGAGAGUGUAUAGAGUGGCGCACGGGUGAGUAACACGUAAGUAAUCUACCUUCGAGUGGGGAAUAACGUCCGGAAACGGACGCUAAUACCGCAUAAUGCAGCGGCAUCGCAAGAUGACAGUUGUUAAAGAUUUAUCGCUUGAAGAGGAGCUUGCGGCAGAUUAGCUAGUUGGUAAGGUAAUGGCUUACCAAGGCUACGAUCUGUAACCGGUCUAAGAGGACGGUCGGUCACACUGACACUGAAUAACGGGUCAGACUCCUACGGGAGGCAGCAGUCGGGAA